RNAcentral lists this ribosomal RNA (492 nucleotides) under uncultured bacterium. RNAcentral describes it as "partial 16S ribosomal RNA". It matches the Rfam family "Bacterial small subunit ribosomal RNA", at positions 29 to 507 of the family's 1533-position model. The record is from RNAcentral.
AGUGAACGCUGGCGGUAGGCCUAACACAUGCAAGUCGAACGGCAGCACAGUAAGAGCUUGCUCUUACGGGUGGCGAGUGGCGGACGGGUGAGGAAUACAUCGGAAUCUACUUUUUCGUGGGGGAUAACGUAGGGAAACUUACGCUAAUACCGCAUACGACCUACGGGUGAAAGCAGGGGAACUUCGGACCUUGCGCGAUUGAAUGAGCCGAUGUCGGAUUUGCUGGUUGGCGGGGGAAAGGCCCACCAAGGCGACGAUCCGUAGCUGGUCUAAGAGGAUGACGAGCCAACCUGGAACUGAGCACCGGUCCAGCCUCCUACGGAGGGCAGCAGUGGGGAAUAUUGGACAAUGGGCGCAAGCCUGAUCCAGCCCUACCGCGUGGGUGAAGAAGGCCUUCGGGUUGUAAAGCCCUUUUGUUGGGAAAGAAAAGCAGCAGGUUAAUACCCCGCUGUUCUGACGGUACCCAAAGAAUAAGCACCGGCUAACUUCGUG